Molecule: non-coding RNA, 83 nt
Organism: Danio rerio (zebrafish)
Lineage: Eukaryota; Metazoa; Chordata; Actinopteri; Cypriniformes; Danionidae
Source: Rfam
GUCAGGAUGGCCGAGCGGUCUAAGGCGCCGCGUUCAGGUCGCAGUCUCCCCUGGAGGAGUGGGUUCGAAUCCCACUUCUGACA